Molecule: ribosomal RNA, 459 nt
Filed under: uncultured bacterium
Lineage: Bacteria
Description: partial 16S ribosomal RNA
Rfam family: Bacterial small subunit ribosomal RNA
Source: RNAcentral
CCUACGGGGGGCUGCAGUGAGGAAUAUUGGUCAAUGGGCGGAAGCCUGAACCAGCCAAGUAGCGUGCAGGAUGACGGCCCUACGGGUUGUAAACUGCUUUUAUACGGGAAUAACGCGCCUUACGUGUAGGGCUUUGCAUGUACCGUAUGAAUAAGGACCGGCUAAUUCCGUGCCAGCAGCCCCGGUAAUACGGAAGGUCCGGGCGUUAUCCGGAUUUAUUGGGUUAAAAGGGUGGGCAGGCGGUCUGUUAAGUCAGCGGUAAAAGCCCGGGGCUAAACCCCGGCCCGCAGUUGAAACUGGCAGUCUCGAGUUGGAGAGAAGUAUGCGGAAGGCGCGGUGUAGCGGUGAAAUGCAUAGAUAUCGCGCAGAACUCUGAUUGCGAAGGCAGCAUGCCGGCUCCACACUGACGCUGAGGCACGAAAGCGUGGGUAUCGAACAGGAUUAGAUACCCUAGUAGUC